GACGAACGCUGGCGGCGUGGAUUAGGCAUGCAAGUCGAACGGUAUCAUCCUUUCGGGGGUGAGAGAGUGGCGAACUGGUGAGUAACACGUAGGUUAUCUACCCUCAAGACGGGGACAACCCAGGGAAACUUGGGCUAAUACCGGAUGUGAGCAACUUUUAGUUGUUUGAAAGGUGGCGUAAGCUGUCGCUUGGGGAUGAGCCUGCGUCCUAUUAGUUAGUUGGUGAGGUAACGGCUCACCUAGGCAAUGAUAGGUAGGCGGCCUUAACGGGUGGUCGCCCACACUGGGAUUGAGAUACGGCCCAGACUCCUACGGGAGGCAGCAGUCGAGAAUAGUCUACAAUGGUCGGAAGACUGAUAGUGCGACGCCGCGUGAACGAUGAAUCCCUUCGGGUGUAAAGUUCUUUUAUAUGUGAGCAGUGCUUCUUAUAUUAACAGUAUGGGGAAGAGAUAUUAGCAUAUGAAUAAGCAACGGCUAACUCCGUGCCAGCAGCCGCGGUAAUCU
Molecule: ribosomal RNA, 504 nt
Filed under: uncultured bacterium
Lineage: Bacteria
Description: bacterial SSU rRNA
Rfam family: Bacterial small subunit ribosomal RNA
Source: RNAcentral